RNAcentral lists this unclassified non-coding RNA (159 nucleotides) under fungal sp. Its description in RNAcentral is "partial internal transcribed spacer region". The stretch from base 1 to 46 matches the Rfam family "Eukaryotic small subunit ribosomal RNA", at positions 1786 to 1831 of the family's 1831-position model. Lineage: Eukaryota; Fungi. The record is from RNAcentral.
AAGUCGUAACAAGGUAACCGUAGGUGAACCUGUGGUUGGAUCACUACCAAUCCUAUAUAUUGUUUCUGGGUGUCUCGGCACCCAAACUUGUAAACCACUAUCAGCCUGAUACAAUUUAUAUAAUAAAAACAACUUUUAACAACGGAUCUCUUGGCUCUC